Non-coding RNA from Zonotrichia albicollis (white-throated sparrow), 3415 nucleotides. NCBI's taxonomy places the organism in Eukaryota, Metazoa, Chordata, Aves, Passeriformes, Passerellidae. The record is from RefSeq and is a predicted model, not a curated record.
UUGUUGCUGUGGUAACCACUGUGCGAUUUUUUUGAAUAUUUAUGCUGUGUAAAAGGAGCUUGGAUUACCUAAAGAUAGCAUGGAUGGUUCUUCAGCAUGAGUCCCUUUGGUAGGAAUAGAGACUUUGAUUCCUUCGGAAAAACUUACCUGAUGUCAUAUUAUUUUUCCCAAGUUCAGGAGAAACCUGCUAAAGAUUAACAAGCAGAGAAGCUAUCCUUAUAUUCCAGUGAUCCUCAAAAGCUGAAAGAAACACUUUUCAUAGUUUUCUGCAGUCAUGUUUUUUUUUUUUUUCUUUUGACUUUUUUUUAUGGCAAUCCUACAAAGAUGAAAUGAAACCUUCUCUUUUCCUCCUGAUACUAAGGACAAAGGCUCUCUCUAAACAAGACACAAUACAAUUUUGGUAGAAGAAAAAGAGUGCUAUGCUCUAUAGAAAAAAGUACCCAUAGGGGACUACAAUGAAAAGACAGUAUCAACUUGAUCAGAAACAAAUGAAAAAGUGACUGUGAUUCAGUGGCACAAAAAAAUGGUCUGAGAUCUGGAUUUGUAUUUUAGUUGCAGAGGAAAUGGUUAUGCUGGAGGGGACUGCAGGGACAUGACAAAUCUGAGCUCUCAUAGCUGAGGCUUCUUGCUCUCACCUCGUGUCCUGUGUCUGUAGCAAACCCAGAUCUGUAGCAAACAUGGAAUUGGGCUCUUCUGGGCACCUCAGCGUGAGAUUGCACUUUAGAAGCAAUAGUUCCUGCAAAUUUGCUAUGGAAGCUUCUGUACAAGAACAUCAAGAGAAAGAACAACCAGUUCAAGAAAGCAUCAUUCAGUCUUGGUCUGUGUUAGACCCAGAAGAAUCUGUGAAAUAGGAGCCCACGAGAAACCAGCUUCCUCUGGUUCUGCUGCUGGUGAAACUGCUUUAAUUAUGCCACUGGGCUUGUGUCAUGAGUGGCUUCACCUUUAUUACAAAGACAACAGGAAGAUAAAGAAGAGGCUAGACACUGAUGCACAGAGAGCAUAACAAGAGUGUUACCUGAGAAAACCCCCUGAAAUUCAGCAGCCUAUGUGCCAGAAGGACUUUCAAAGUGAUCCACAGCUGCAUGGUUGAAACCUUCUCUCAUGUCUCCAGCAGAGAAGGGAAAACAGAGAAUCCAUCCUUCACAUUUUAGAGCUCUGCAGCUCAAGGGGAAAGCUGUGAAAUUCCUGAUUCCAAUUUUCCUCGACUUCAUGGCAGCAAUAAAAAGAGCACAAGUAGAAAAGAACUAGAUAUUUAACAGCUUAAAAAGACAUAUUGACAUUGGCACAUACUUAUUUGCUGCAGCAUUUUCUGGGAUUUCUGCUGAAAUAGAAGCCUUUUAAUAAAACAAUGGAUAUCUUGCCAUAAAAAAGGUGUAAACAAAAGCCAUGUCAAACUGUGUUCUGCACAAUAUGUAUGUGAAUGAAGGGAAGAGUAAUGAAAAAGCUUGCCAAGUCAAACAAGAUAAAAGCAAAAUAAAAAAUGAAACCACAAAGCAUCGCUAAUAAGUAGCACAACAGGGCCUUUGUUUAGCUGCGUAAUUCUUUUUUUGGUAUAGAUUUGAAAAUAUUUGUUUCAGCAGGAGUAAGAAGCCCCUGUGCUUGCUGUAGAAGCUUCACACAGGUAGUUUCCAAUUACUGAAGCCGAUGUUUGGCACUCUUCAAGAAAGGGAUUGGGCACUUGUAGGAAGAGAAAAAUAGAAUUAGGCAGCUGUAAAAGCUGGAUAUUUUAAUAAAAGAUUAUGUAUCUCAAAGCUUGAAAGCCCUAUAGCAAUUCAGCCUUUAACUAGUUUGUGCGAGAGAAGAGCUUACCUACAGACAUCUGAUUUUAUUGUAUCCCUUUUACUCUGGUUUUCUAAGUUUUAUUAUUGACCUCAGUGGCUGAUACCCAGUAAAAUUAUGCUCAGUAAAAUUGGCCUGAUCCAGUAUUUCAUAUCCUAUAAUUCUGUCUUCUUAAUUCUUCCUGUAUAAUAGGCAUUAAUUAAGUUAGCUGGAGUUCACAGAAGAGAACUCUUUUGGGUUGGAUUGAAGGUGUUUUGUUUAGCUUUGAUGGAUGAAUGGCUGUCUCUAUCAUCAGGCACAAGUAAUAGAAUAUUUUAUCAUCUUCCUAGAUAGGUUGUCAACAUGUGGUGCAUAGCAGCUGCUGUGAAUUCAUACUUUUUCCAAUAGGAAAUAUGGUAAAUGUAGAAACCAAAAUAAAAUUGCAGAGGAAAUAACAUUCUUAUGUAUUUCAGUAACCAAGGUGUGUUAAGUGGUGUCUGGAUUUUGGUGGGGAAUUUUUUGUUGUUGCUGUUUUCUUUUUGUUUGUUUUGUUUGUUGGGUUUGUUGCUGUUUUGGUUUUUGUUUUUAUUUUGUAACCAUGUAUGAGUUUAGCUGUAAUACAGAAAAUAAAGAUUUCCUUUCUGGUCCAGAGCUGAAGACCAGACAUUUUGCUCAAAUUGAAAAAAAGUCAUUAAAUUUAAUAUAUUUUUAUCUUCCUCUGGCACGGGAGGUUAGUAGAGAAAUCCUUCUCAGGUGCAGACUGCAAAUGGACUCCAUCCAAAAUCUCCUGAAGUCAAUACAGAAAAGUUCAUGCUCUUCAUUUGAUAUUGGAUCAAGUCUUCUUUUCAUCUCUGACCAAGAUUACUUUCACAAUUCUGGCCUGUUUCUGGGUAAUAGAGGAGCAGAUCCAUGGACACGGUGUGAGGAAGAAAAGAUCUUCCAAAUGAAUGCAGCUUCAGAUAAUGGCCUCUCAUGGUACUAAAGUAUUGCUGAUGGAGAGAUGAAGAAAGUUCCAUUUUUAAGAGGAGAGAUGAAUAUUUGCUCUUAGGCACCUGGAAACAGAGGCAAGUUACCCUUCAAAAUAAAAGAUCCAGAGAUUGGUUAUGUCCAAGUGAAGCUGGAGAAUCACUGGGAUGUUGGGACCUUGUGCUGUGUCACACACAGGAUGCAGCUCACUAAAGGUGUUCAUUUUGUAUUUGUGAGGUUUCCUCUGUGUUAUUCUAUCAAUUCCUGUGAACUUUUAAACAAUAUUUCUGUUAUGCACAUUCAGACAGGUUCUACAUAUUCUUCCAUACAAGUAGCUGUAGAAAAACUGUGCAUUUCAGUAGGACUGCAAAAUCCUGUGCACUGUGAAUGCUUCUCUGCCCCUGAAAAUUGAUUAUUCCACUCUGUGUACUUUCCUAAACCAUUUAAGUGGAUCAGAUAGUUAUAGAUAUUUGACAUGUUAAGUGAUGGUCUGGCUAGAGUAGCACUUGUAUGAGGUAAGUGAAUUGUUUCCAGUAAACUUAGCCUAUCUGUAUUGUUAAUGUGCUACCACCUGCCUUAAAAAUGGUCAGUCAAUUUGUUGCAUGACAUUUCUGGAGUAAGUGAGCAGUAUGGAUUAAUUGAGUUAAUUCUAAAUAUGUCAUUGAUUUUUUUUUUUUUUCUAUGUGAGCUG